AGUGAACGCUGGCGGUAGGCCUAACACAUGCAAGUCGAACGGCAGCACAGUAAGAGCUUGCUCUUACGGGUGGCGAGUGGCGGACGGGUGAGGAAUACAUCGGAAUCUACUUUUUCGUGGGGGAUAACGUAGGGAAACUUACGCUAAUACCGCAUACGACCUACGGUUGAAAGCAGUGGAUCUUCGGACCUUUCGCGAUUGAAUGAGCCGAUGUCGGAUUAGCUAGUUGGCGGGGUAAAGGCCCACCAAGGCGACGAUCCGUAGCUGGUCUGAGAGGAUGAUCAGCCACACUGGAACUGAGACACGGUCCAGACUCCUACGGGAGGCAGCAGUGGGGAAUAUUGGACAAUGGGCGCAAGCCUGAUCCAGCCAUACCGCGUGGGUGAAGAAGGCCUUCGGGUUGUAAAGCCCUUUUGUUGGGAAAGAAAAGCAGCAGGUUAAUACCCCGCUGUUCUGACGGUACCCAAAGAAUAAGCACCGGCUAACUUCGUG
Molecule: ribosomal RNA, 492 nt
Filed under: uncultured bacterium
Lineage: Bacteria
Description: partial 16S ribosomal RNA
Rfam family: Bacterial small subunit ribosomal RNA
Source: RNAcentral